This 253-nucleotide ribosomal RNA is filed under the name uncultured bacterium. RNAcentral describes it as "partial 16S ribosomal RNA". It matches the Rfam family "Bacterial small subunit ribosomal RNA", at positions 524 to 776 of the family's 1533-position model. The record is from RNAcentral.
UACAGAGGUCCCAAGCGUUGUUCGGAUUCAUUGGGCGUAAAGGGUGCGUAGGCGGCGCGGUAAGUCGGGUGUGAAAUCUCGGGGCUUAACUCCGAAACUGCAUUCGAUACUGCCGUGCUUGAGGACUGGAGAGGAGACUGGAAUUUACGGUGUAGCGGUGAAAUGCGUAGAUAUCGUAAGGAAGACCAGUGGCGAAGGCGAGUCCCUGGACAGGUCCUGACGCUGAGGCACGAAAGCUAGGGGAGCAAACAGG